AAGCCACCGGAGACCGCCACACUUGUCCCAAAAGCUUCGCCGUCGUCUCUACUUCAUUGCUGGAUAGGUGGUGCAUCGAGUGGCGCCGCCGUGAGAGAUAAAUCGAGCUCCAAAACUCCGCCGGUUCGGAUUCGGUGUCGUUCGAAUUUCUCCUUCCUCAGGUCACCAUUUGGUGAGUUCUAUAUAUGGAUAAGUUGAGUUUGAUUAGUACUACAUUCCCCUAGAAUUUGGUAGCUCGAUUCGGUGUGUGUGUGAGGAGAAUCGAAGAUUUGAAGUUUUUAGGGUUUAAAAAUUGAGGAUUUUUAUAUUUUGAUUCAAUUGACCUAUUUAGGCUUAGAAUUAGGCUUCGACUUUUUCUAGAAAGUUGUUCGAAAUGUUGAGAAGAAGAUUCUGUCAAAUUUUGGUGGUGAUUGGAGGUGGCCGAAAGUUUCUGCUAGUUUUUUUUUUUCAAAAACCAGCAACUUUAGCCGAUGAUAUUUAAAGGUUUAGCCGACGAUAUUUAAAAGUUUAUUCGUCGGCUAUAUUAUUUUUAAAUUUUUUUAUAAGGUUUAGCUGACGAAUUAUGGCAUAUUUCGUCGGCUAUAGUUAUUUUUUAAAAUUUUUAUAAGGUUUAGCCGACAAAACAGACUAUAUUUCGUCGGCUAUAGUUAUUUUUUUAAAUUUUUUUAUAAGGUUUAGCCGGUUAUAGUCUGGGAAAAAAUUUUUUAUUACAGACUUUAGCCGACGAAUAUCUUAAUUGUUUCGUCGGCUAAAGUCUGGGAAAAAAACCGACGACAUGUUUUUCGUCGGCUAAAUUGCGGGACUAUAGCCGACGAAAUUUUUUUUUUCGUCGGCUAAAGUCAUCACAGACGACCUUUUCCCGACGAAAUCUUAGCCGACGAUGGCUCGUCGGCUAAGAUCUUAGCCGACGAAUUAAGCUAACAGGCCGACUAAAAUUUUUCGUCGGCUAAAGUGCUUGUCCUGGUAGUGACACGACGUGUAUUUUCAUAUACAUAUAUGGAUGAUCAUGAUUAGAGGAAAUAAUAUAAAAACAUGGUGGUCAAACAUAUAUAUGAAUUGUUAUGAACAGUUAAAAUUGUGUCGUGUAAAUACACGUCGUGCAUACAAGAAUUUCCACAUAUAAAAAACAUUUACCAUCUGGUGAUUCUGGUCAUGCAUUUGAACUAUACAUGAAAACGAAUACAUCAUGCAUACAUCUGUCCAACUAUAAAGCAUGGAUGGUGUCAAAUUGUACAUCUCAUCCCCAAAGCAUCAAUAGAGAUACCUCUAGCCACAUGGUAUUAGACUAAAUGAUGCAACAACCAAAUACAUUUAGAUCAAAUCACAACAACAUGAACACACAUCUCAUAUCAGUAAGAUCAACAAGACUAGAACACUAACCUGAUGAUUGGUUCAUUGAGGUCGACAUCUUGCAAUAGCAGUUGCACUUAGAACCAAAAGUUAAGCCUUCUGCACUUCAACACU
This 1464-nucleotide long non-coding RNA is filed under the name Fragaria vesca (wild strawberry). RNAcentral describes it as "long non-coding RNA (FVES_LNC005158)". Lineage: Eukaryota; Viridiplantae; Streptophyta; Magnoliopsida; Rosales; Rosaceae. The record is from RNAcentral.